ACAGCCCCGUACACAAAAAUGCACAUGCUGUGAGCUCGAUGAGUAGGGCGGGACACGUGGUAUCCUGUCUGAAUAUGGGGGGACCAUCCUCCAAGGCUAAAUACUCCUGACUGACCGAUAGUGAACCAGUACCGUGAGGGAAAGGCGAAAAGAACCCCGGCGAGGGGAGUGAAAAAGAACCUGAAACCGUGUACGUACAAGCAGUGGGAGCACAGAGCAAUCUGUGUGACUGCGUACCUUUUGUAUAAUGGGUCAGCGACUUAUAUUCUGUAGCAAGGUUAACCGAAUAGGGGAGCCGAAGGGAAACCGAGUCUUAACUGGGCGUUAAGUUGCAGGGUAUAGACCCGAAACCCGGUGAUCUAGCCAUGGGCAGGUUGAAGGUUGGGUAACACUAACUGGAGGACCGAACCGACUAAUGUUGAAAAAUUAGCGGAUGACUUGUGGCUGGGGGUGAAAGGCCAAUCAAACCGGGAGAUAGCUGGUUCUCCCCGAAAGCUAUUUAGGUAGCGCCUCGUGAAUUCAUCUCCGGGGGUAGAGCACUGUUUCGGCAAGGGGGUCAUCCCGACUUACCAACCCGAUGCAAACUGCGAAUACCGGAGAAUGUUAUCACGGGAGACACACGGCGGGUGCUAACGUCCGUCGUGAAGAGGGAAACAACCCAGACCGCCAGCUAAGGUCCCAAAGUCAUGGUUAAGUGGGAAACGAUGUGGGAAGGCCCAGACAGCCAGGAUGUUGGCUUAGAAGCAGCCAUCAUUUAAAGAAAGCGUAAUAGCUCACUGGUCGAGUCGGCCUGCGCGGAAGAUGUAACGGGGCUAAACCAUGCACCGAAGCUGCGGCAGCGACGCUUAUGCGUUGUUGGGUAGGGGAGCGUUCUGUAAGCCUGUGAAGGUGUACUGUGAGGUAUGCUGG
Molecule: ribosomal RNA, 909 nt
Filed under: Escherichia coli
Lineage: Bacteria; Pseudomonadati; Pseudomonadota; Gammaproteobacteria; Enterobacterales; Enterobacteriaceae
Description: partial 23S ribosomal RNA
Rfam family: Bacterial large subunit ribosomal RNA
Source: RNAcentral